Molecule: ribosomal RNA, 150 nt
Filed under: uncultured eukaryote
Lineage: Eukaryota
Description: partial small subunit ribosomal RNA
Rfam family: Eukaryotic small subunit ribosomal RNA
Source: RNAcentral
CCCUGCCAUUUGUACACACCGCCCGUCGCACCUACCGAUUGAAUGGUCCGGUGAAACCUCCGGAUUCUCCGUGCGUCUCUCCGACAAACGCGAGAAGAAGCUGGUUAAACCUUACCAUUUAGAGGAAGGUGAAGUCGUAACAAGGUUUCC